This is an RNA transcript of Gigantopelta aegis, 2428 nucleotides long. RefSeq lists it as uncharacterized. Lineage: Eukaryota; Metazoa; Mollusca; Gastropoda; Neomphalida; Peltospiridae. The transcript is spliced from 5 exons. The record is from RefSeq and is a predicted model, not a curated record.
AACUUCAGUGUUCUACGUUGCGACCAAAAUGGUCGCCAAUGCGACCAAAAUGUUGGCGUGGCGACUGAUUGAAUUUAUUAUCGUCAUCUGGCAACUGACUCCAAAAACGUCUAAGUAUUAAAUUAUUUGCCAUGUGCGUCCUAGCAGCGAAAACAAAUGAAAUUUGUUGACAUCAUUGUGCAGUCGGAACAUUUCACUAUUUAUGAAGUUGUCCGAUUAAUCACUGUGAAUUCCGUAUUAAUUGUCGGUACAAUUCGGAACUCAUCGUUGAUUUUAGUAAUUUGGCGAAAACAAUCCAGAUACUUACAACACAUUCAUAAAUGAUACAAAAUGAGUAGUGUCACACUGUGGCAAGUAACAUUUUAAGCUUGGCUAGUACAUUUUGUUUGUCCACUAGCCAAAGAAGACCCAUGUCCUAAGCGGUUUCAGUUUACAGAUUCGGAUGAAUGUCCAAAUGAUGAUGGAGAAGACAUAAUUAAUGUCACUUUACCAACCACCUGUUAAACCCAAAGCUAGCACGAACAUCAAGAAACCAAAACUGCCAGCACUACCAGCUCUGCCAGAGUUUAUCAAGUCACCUUGUUACAAGGAACAACAAAUACAUGAAGAUUCCAAUGACACUGGAAUUGAAAGUAUUUUUAAUUCUAGGGAGCCACAAGUAUCCUCUCUAAAGAGGCUACAUAAAGGGGAUCACACUUCACAGCCACUUCUGCAAGAGAAAACCCUCUUGCAGGCCUUGGAAGAAAUCAAAGACACCCUGAAACAACAUACUCUAAUGUUGCAGUCACUGCUUCAUAGUGGAGCUGCAGAAGUAGAAUAUGUUGAUAAUGUGUUCAACUUGCCGUUAACAACAGAGCAGGAUGUUGAAGAAUGGAUGAAAUAUUAAAAAAUAAACUGAAACGGAAGUAAUUUAUAAGUUUUUACAGGUUUUGUGAAUGAAAAUAUACAAAUCAAUAUGUGUUAUUGUUUUCUUAAAAAUUAAAAUAUUUUUUAUUAAUAUAUUUGCUAAUAUUCACUGUCUAGAACUUCAGAUAUUUAGCUUUGAGAUUUUCAAGUUAUUAUGUAAAUUAAACAAAUAAAUGGUUUGGGAAAUCCAGGUUGAAAUCAUGUGCAUUUAUUUACAGGUACUGAUUGAUUGAUUGUGUGCUGAUAGUUUCAACAGGCUAAUUUAAGCUUUUGUUGAAGUAACGACUUCUUCUCCUUGUAGAAAUUCUUUCAUCAUCCAUUUCAUAAUGUCUAAUGACAUUUUUUGUUCAUCUUUAGAAAGUGUACUCUCCAUGUAAAAUGAAUGUAUUGAAAUGUGAAUGGUGACAAUUACAAGCCUAUAUUUUGAUGGAACUGUCAUGGAAUUCAGAUUUGUUUUCAUAUUUCAUCUUUUUAACGUAGAAUGUACGGUAAUUUUUCACUGUUUAGCAUAAGUUAAUUAGGAACCAUUAAAAGGAGUAAGCCCUAAUUUGUCAUACACAAGACUGAUGGUGUGCACAUCUAUAUUCUUAUAAUUUAAAAUGUUUUUAAAAAUAUAGAGCCGUUAUCUUGCGAGUUUGGCAGGAUACGGGGUCAAGAACAUGGUGGACAGGACCAUGUCGGCCAUCUUCACCAACCACCAGAUUAAACUGGUCAGGGAAAGCAGGGAAGUUGUCUUUCUCAAACCUGCUAUUGCCAAAGAGUUGGAUCUUGCAAAAGAAACGGUUUCAUCCUCAUCUGAGUCAGACUAGGUUCCAGUGAUAUUGUCAUCCUCAUCGUCAUCCUCAUCUGAAUCAGACUAGGUUCCAGUGAUAUCGUCAUCCUCAUCUCUUGAAUCGGACUAGCUUCCAAUAGGAUAUUCUGGUUGUAGCUUGAUACUGCAAAGGGAAAAGUGAUGUCGUAAUCCUCAUGUUAUGAAUUGGACUUCAAUUAGAAUAUUUUUAUAUCAUUUCUGACAAUACAAUUAAAUUAAUUGCACAUUACCAAACUAAGACAAGACCGAUAUAGAUAUAUACAAACAAUAACAAUAAGAAUAUUAUUACCGGUAAAAAAAAAAAAAAAAAAAUAUGUUUUGAGUUUUAUUGCCCUUUGCAAUUUUGUGCAUUUGAAAUAUGACUACAUACAGCAACUAUAACCUUUUAAUCAUAUUUAUUUGUGGUAAAAUUCACCUUUUAAAAAAUGUACGUAAGCAUUUAACUUCAAGCCUGUGGUUAAUUUGUGUAGGCUACUGUCUGUAGUUUCUCUUUCAGAUAAUCUACCUCAGCAGCUAAUAAUUUACAAUUUUUACUUUUAUUUAUUUAUUUAUUAUUAUUUUUUAUUAUUAUUAUUAUUAUUUUUUUUCUCUUUUUUUUUCGAGUACUGCAGGAAAAAUAUUACGCUAUUCAUAUGUCUAUGGAAUAUGUACACAAAAGGGUCCGCUAGAUUCAUAUACAAUCACCCUCCCCUCUCCUGUUCAGACCACCAC